This 915-nucleotide ribosomal RNA is filed under the name Corynebacterium xerosis. RNAcentral's name for it is "bacterial SSU rRNA". It matches the Rfam family "Bacterial small subunit ribosomal RNA", at positions 532 to 1444 of the family's 1533-position model. The record is from RNAcentral. Lineage: Bacteria; Bacillati; Actinomycetota; Actinomycetes; Mycobacteriales; Corynebacteriaceae.
GUGCGAGCGUUGUCCGGAAUUACUGGGCGUAAAGAGCUCGUAGGUGGUUUGUCGCGUCGUCUGUGAAAUUCCGGGGCUUAACUCCGGGCGUGCAGGCGAUACGGGCAUAACUUGAGUACUGUAGGGGAGACUGGAAUUCCUGGUGUAGCGGUGAAAUGCGCAGAUAUCAGGAGGAACACCGGUGGCGAAGGCGGGUCUCUGGGCAGUAACUGACGCUGAGGAGCGAAAGCAUGGGUAGCGAACAGGAUUAGAUACCCUGGUAGUCCAUGCCGUAAACGGUGGGCGCUAGGUGUAGGGGUCUUCCACGACUUCUGUGCCGUAGCUAACGCAUUAAGCGCCCCGCCUGGGGAGUACGGCCGCAAGGCUAAAACUCAAAGGAAUUGACGGGGGCCCGCACAAGCGGCGGAGCAUGUGGAUUAAUUCGAUGCAACGCGAAGAACCUUACCUGGGCUUGACAUAUACGGGACCGGGCCAGAGAUGGUCCUUCCCUUGUGGCUCGUAUACAGGUGGUGCAUGGUUGUCGUCAGCUCGUGUCGUGAGAUGUUGGGUUAAGUCCCGCAACGAGCGCAACCCUUGUCUUAUGUUGCCAGCACGUAAUGGUGGGGACUCGUGAGAAACUGCCGGGGUCAACUCGGAGGAAGGUGGGGAUGACGUCAAAUCAUCAUGCCCCUUAUGUCCAGGGCUUCACACAUGCUACAAUGGUCGGUACAGUGGGUUGCGAUGCCGUGAGGUGGAGCUAAUCCCUGAAAGCCGGUCUCAGUUCGGAUCGGGGUCUGCAACUCGACCCCGUGAAGUCGGAGUCGCUAGUAAUCGCAGAUCAGCAACGCUGCGGUGAAUACGUUCCCGGGCCUUGUACACACCGCCCGUCACGUCAUGAAAGUCGGUAACACCCGAAGCCAGUGGCCCAACCCUUGU